GACGAACGCUGGCGGCGCGCUUAACACAUGCAAGUCGAGCGAGAACCCUCCUUCGGGAGGGGGACAGCGGCGAACGGGUGAGUAACACGUGGGUAAUCUGCCCUCGGUUCUGGGAUAGCCCGGGGAAACCCGGAUUAAUACCGGAUAGCCUCUCGAGCUCUCGGGCUCGUGAGAAAAGGUAGCUUCGGCCUCCGAUCGAGGAGGAGCCCGCGGCGGAUUAGCUUGUUGGUGGGGUAACGGCCCACCAAGGCGACGAUCCGUAGCUGGUCUGAGAGGACGAUCAGCCACACUGGGACUGAGACACGGCCCAGACUCCUACGGGAGGCAGCAGUGGGGAAUCUUGCGCAAUGGGCGAAAGCCUGACGCAGCGACGCCGCGUGAGGGAAGAAGGCCUUC
Molecule: ribosomal RNA, 396 nt
Filed under: uncultured bacterium
Lineage: Bacteria
Description: bacterial SSU rRNA
Rfam family: Bacterial small subunit ribosomal RNA
Source: RNAcentral